GUGAAGUUUUAUUCUUGCUUAGUUCGUUCAGUUUUUGUUUGUUUUAUAUGUGAGUUUGUGCGUGAUUUUUUAAUCUCUAGAUGGGUUUUGAAGGGUUAUUUAUUCUCAUUAGUUAGUAUUGGUUGGUCAAGUAUUCUUGUAUUUAGCAAUUCAUUUUAGUUUCGGUUAAAUUUUGUGCCAGCAGCCGCGGUUAUACCUUGGGGGCGUUUGAAUGUGUUCGGCGUAAGAUAGUUUUAUGAUUUGAUUUUUGUUGAAUUUUGUUUUGGUGGUUAUUGGGUGAAAUUUUUAUUGCUGUUAUUAUUUUUUGUUUGCUUAGAGGCUAUGAAAUUCUUUUUAUAGACUAGGAUUAGAUACCCUAUUAUUUUGGAAUGUUAAGUGUUGUUUGUCUGAGUAGUAUUAGUUAUGUUCUUGAAACUUAAAGAAUUUGGCGGUAUCUUAUUCCAUCCAGAGGAAUCUGUCUCGUCAUCGAUAGUCCACGUUGGACCUUACUUAGUUGCUUUGGUUUGUAUACCGCCGUUUAUUGAUUAUCUUUUUAGAGUUGUUUUAAAUUUUCUGGUUUCUUUGUUUAGAUUUAUUUCAGGUCAAGGUGCAGCUUGUUUCUAGGUGGUAUGAUGGAUUACAUUGUUAUUUGUUUAUUGGAUUGCUGGUUUUAAUAUCGGCAUGAAAUUGGAUUUGGUUGUAAUGUUUUGUAGAUUGUUUUCAUGAUAAUUGGUUCUGGGAUAUGUACACAUCGCCCGUCGCUCUCGUUUAUUUUAAUGAGAUAAGUCGUAACAAAGUGGUUGUACCGGAAGGUGCAGCUGGAUUGAU
This 807-nucleotide non-coding RNA is filed under the name Jugositermes tuberculatus. The record is from RNAcentral. Lineage: Eukaryota; Metazoa; Arthropoda; Insecta; Blattodea; Termitidae. RNAcentral also lists the same sequence under 1 other name.